GUGACGAACAGAAGCAGCACUUGAGCCGGACUCUGACCGAGAACUACGAGCAGGCUGGAGCCACGCAGAUCCCCACCUCAGCAGACCGGCUGUAACAGGAGGCGCUCAGGAGCCCCAGAUGGUGACUGAAUGCCGAGCUGGACAGCACAGAUGCAGGACGCUGCCUCCAUCGCGGAAAGCUCUCCUGGACAGCACUGUUCCAGAUCCUGAUGGUCCUCACAACGGCGCAGGGUGCAGGUCUUUCAUUGGCCCAGUUCUACAUGUAAGUGGCCCAGCAGUCGUGCGGCACCAGCACACACAGACAGAGACACA
This is a long non-coding RNA of Chlorocebus sabaeus (green monkey), 312 nucleotides long. RefSeq lists it as uncharacterized. The record is from RefSeq and is a predicted model, not a curated record. NCBI's taxonomy places the organism in Eukaryota, Metazoa, Chordata, Mammalia, Primates, Cercopithecidae.